This 460-nucleotide ribosomal RNA is filed under the name uncultured bacterium. RNAcentral's name for it is "partial 16S ribosomal RNA". It matches the Rfam family "Bacterial small subunit ribosomal RNA", at positions 338 to 795 of the family's 1533-position model. The record is from RNAcentral.
CCUACGUGCGACAGCAGUGAGGAAUAUUGGUCAAUGGGCUUACGCCUGAACCAGCCAAGUCGCGUGAGGGAAGACUGCCCUAUGGGUUGUAAACCUCUUUUGUCAGGGAGCAACGCCGGCUACGUGUAGCCGGACUGAGAGUACCUGAAGAAAAAGCAUCGGCUAACUCCGUGCCAGCAGCCGCGGUAAUACGGAGGAUGCGAGCGUUAUCCGGAUUUAUUGGGUUUAAAGGGUGCGUAGGCGGAAUGCCAAGUCAGCGGUAAAAUCGCGGGGCUCAACCUCGCUCCGCCGUUGAAACUGGCGUUCUUGAGUGGGCGAGAAGUAUGCGGAAUGCGUGGUGUAGCGGUGAAAUGCAUAGAUAUCACGCAGAACUCCGAUUGCGAAGGCAGCAUACCGGCGCCCAACUGACGCUGAAGCACGAAAGCGUGGGUAUCGAACAGGAUUAGAUACCCGGGUAGUC